This 513-nucleotide ribosomal RNA is filed under the name uncultured organism. RNAcentral describes it as "bacterial SSU rRNA". It matches the Rfam family "Bacterial small subunit ribosomal RNA", at positions 833 to 1362 of the family's 1533-position model. The record is from RNAcentral.
AUCGGAAUCGGGGUAGCAGCUAACGCGUUAUACUAGCCGCCUGGGGAGUACGCUCGCAAGCCUGUAACUUAAAGGAAUUGGCGGGGACCCGCACAAGCAGUGGAGCACCUGGUCUAAUUCGACGGUGAUCGCUGAAUCUUACCAGGGUUUGAAUAUAGCUGUGGUUUCUAAGAUACUAGUUACGUCUACGAGUACGCUAUACAGGUGCUGCACGGCCGUUGUCAGCUCGUGCUGUGAAGUGUACCGUUAAGUCGGGUAACGAGCGCAACCCUUGUCCUAUGUUACAAGUGUCUUAGGAGUCUCCCGUGGUCAUACACGGAGGAUAGGAGGGGAUGACUUCUGGUCUUCAUAUCCCUUAUAACAUGGGCUACACACGCGCUACAAUGGUUGGUACAAAGGGCUGCUAACCUGUGAGGUGGAGCUAUCCCAUAAAACCAACCUCAGUUCGGAUUGAAGGCUGAACUCGCCUUCAUGAUGUUGGAUUGCUAGAAUCGUAGAUCAGACAUGCUACGG